This 72-nucleotide transfer RNA is filed under the name Ovis aries (sheep). It matches the Rfam family "tRNA". Rfam says of the family: Transfer RNA (tRNA) molecules are approximately 80 nucleotides in length. Their secondary structure includes four short double-helical elements and three loops (D, anti-codon, and T loops). Further hydrogen bonds mediate the characteristic L-shaped molecular structure. tRNAs have two regions of fundamental functional importance: the anti-codon, which is responsible for specific mRNA codon recognition, and the 3' end, to which the tRNAs corresponding amino acid is attached (by aminoacyl-tRNA synthetases). tRNAs cope with the degeneracy of the genetic code in two manners: having more than one tRNA (with a specific anti-codon) for a particular amino acid; and 'wobble' base-pairing, i.e. permitting non-standard base-pairing at the 3rd anti-codon position. The record is from Rfam by way of RNAcentral. Lineage: Eukaryota; Metazoa; Chordata; Mammalia; Artiodactyla; Bovidae.
UCCUUGGUGGCUUAGACAGUAAAGAAUCUGCUUGCAAUGCAGAAGUCCCAAGUUUAAUCCCUGGGCUAGGAA